CCUACGGGAGGCAGCAGUGAGGAAUAUUGGUCAAUGGCCGGAAGGCUGAACCAGCCAAGUCGCGUGAGGGACGACUGCCCUAUGGGUUGUAAACCUCGUUUAUAAGGGAAGAAUAAAUGCUACGUGUAGCAUGCUGCCUGUACCUUAUGAAUAAGCAUCGGCUAACUCCGUGCCAGCAGCCGCGGUAAUACGGAGGAUGCGAGCGUUAUCCGGAUUUAUUGGGUUUAAAGGGUUCGUAGUCGGUUUUUUAAGUUAGUGGUUAAACGUCGGGGCUUAACCUUGAUUUGCCAUUACUACUGUACGACUCGAGUUCAGACGAGGUAGGCGGAAUAAGUUAAGUAGCGGUGAAAUGCUUAGAUAUAACUUAGGACUCCGAUAGCGAAGGCAGCUUACCAGACUGCGACUGACGCUGAAGCACGAGAGCGUGGGUAGCGAACAGGAUUAGAUACCCCUUGUAGUC
Molecule: ribosomal RNA, 460 nt
Filed under: uncultured bacterium
Lineage: Bacteria
Description: partial 16S ribosomal RNA
Rfam family: Bacterial small subunit ribosomal RNA
Source: RNAcentral